Molecule: long non-coding RNA, 1680 nt
Organism: Ictalurus punctatus (channel catfish)
Lineage: Eukaryota; Metazoa; Chordata; Actinopteri; Siluriformes; Ictaluridae
Source: Ensembl
CUCUCUUAUCACACAUUGGACCCACAGUUAUUCUAUAAUCCGGAUCGUUCGAUGUCAUAACAUGGACGUGAAGAAGGAAUGGAAAGGGAACUGCGUCGGAUCGCGAUGCAUUUUGGGUAUGUUCUGAUUCUUAACUAAACAGCGUUAUUAGUCUCUCGUCUAAUGAGCUGAAUGGAGCAGAUCAAGCAGUUGAACUGAUUAAACAUUUAUUUACUUUUACAGCAUUUGGCAGAUGCCUCAGCCAGAGCGACUUACAUUUUAUCUCAUUUAUACGACUUAAGGGUCUCGUUCAAGGGCCCAGAAGGAUCAGCUUGGUGGUGCUGGGAUUCGAACUCACUUCCUUCCAAUCAGAAGUCUGGUGUCUUAACGACUGCGCCGCUACCACUCCAAAACUCAGAGGAAAUGCUGAGGACGCGGUGACAAAGGAGCAUCGAACAGCCUUGUUAGAGCAGCACAUGAGAUAGCAAAGGGGAAAGCCAACAAGGGGUGCCUUAAAAACCGUAUCAGAAUGGACUUUAAGGUGGCGAUGGUGGUUCAACAAAGAUGCAUUUAAAAAUGUCUCUUGAGAUGAUGCUAGAAAUUAGACCAAUGGAAAUGGCAAGGGAGGUCAACAAGUGUGUGAAACUACCCUGAAGAUGGUGACUGAACCGAACCUGAGGAAAAGCGGUACUUACCACGAUGAUGGAAAUUAAACCAAGGGUGAAUGGUUACAAAAUGUCGACCAGGGUUUGUUCAAACAUCCUUAAGAUUAAACCUUUUAAGAAAUGAUGAGUAAAGCGGACAUGGGUGUAUUUAGAACAGGAUUGGGAUGACCCUUAAGAUGGGGAUUCGAUCAAGAGGAAAUGCUGAGGGAAAGUCGACAAGGGCAUGAUAGGAAACAGUAAUGGACCGGCUUGUAAAAUACUGACGGGGAUUAAACCUUCAAAUGUUGAAGGAAAGUUGCAAAUCAUUGAGCAGCUGUUUGAGAGGGAGUGAAACUGAGGGGAAAUGGCGAGGGAAGGGUGUGGUACAAACUGUAUCGGACUGGUCCUUACUCUUUAAGGGGGAAAUGGUGAGAAGUUAACAUGUUGAAAACAGUUUUUGAUAUAUCGACAAGGAAUCAAAAUGACUGGGCACACUAUUAGAACAGUGGCAUGUUCUCCCCGUGCUGCGGGGGUUUCCUCCGGGUACUCCGGUUUCCUCCCCCAGUCCAAACACAUGCACGGUAGGCUGAUUGGCGUGUCUAAAGUGUCCGUAGUGUAUGAAUGGGUGUGUGAGUGUGUGUGUGAUUGUGCCCUGCGAUGGACUGGCACCCUGCCCAGGGUGUACCCCGCCUUGUGCCCGAUGCUCCCUGGGAUAGGCUCCAGGUUCCCCGUGACCCUAAAAGGAUAAAGCGGUAUAGAAGAUGGAUGGAUGGAUGAAACCAUGGAGAAAUGAUGAGGAGAAAAGUCUAACAUGAUGACGGGACGUCCUACUAUGUCCCACGGCGUCCAAAACCGCAUCUGGAGAACUAGACGUGGUUCUGGGAAGAAGUAUACACUAAAGAUUUUAGGUGAGACAGACUUCUCUGAUGAUCACGGGUUUUCUCUGUCAAAAAACAUCAACAUUUUGACUUAUUAACUGAUCUGUUUGAAUCCUUGAAGUUUUCUUGCAGUUCAGAUUCGUCUGUUAGGUUGCCAGAGCGGCUUUCUGUUUAAAAAC